This 263-nucleotide unclassified non-coding RNA is filed under the name plant metagenome. Its description in RNAcentral is "partial contains small subunit ribosomal RNA, internal transcribed spacer 1, and 5.8S ribosomal RNA". The record is from RNAcentral.
GUUUCGUAGGUGAACCUGCGGAAGGAUCAUUAUUGUAUAACCGAGGUGCGAGGGCUGUCGCUGACCCGAAAGGUCGUGCACACCCGAGUGCCCUCACACACAUCCAUCUCACCCCUAUGUGCACCACCGCGUGGGUCCCCCUUUGGCUUGUUCGGAGGGGGGCUUACGUUUUCACACAAACUUUGUAUGCAGUGUAGAAUGUACUUUUUGUUUUUGCGAUCACGCAAUCAAUACAACUUUCAACAACGGAUCUCUUGGCUCUC